RNAcentral lists this long non-coding RNA (224 nucleotides) under Mytilus galloprovincialis (Mediterranean mussel). The record is from RNAcentral. Lineage: Eukaryota; Metazoa; Mollusca; Bivalvia; Mytilida; Mytilidae.
GUUCUUCAGACUGAAGUAAUUUGGCGGUCCUUCAUUAUAGGUCUUAAUAUUAGAUUGACACACAUCACACAUGUGAACAUCUUCUUUGACUACAGUGAUAUUUACUGCAACUGUAAUGUUAUUAACAUCAAAAAGUCAAUCAAAAACUUGAACUUGUACUAAAAUAUUUUUCUCUAUAAAAAAUAGUACAUUACAUUUGCUUACAUCUGUAAGGUAUUUCUCCG